RNAcentral lists this ribosomal RNA (468 nucleotides) under uncultured bacterium. RNAcentral's name for it is "partial 16S ribosomal RNA". It matches the Rfam family "Bacterial small subunit ribosomal RNA", at positions 28 to 507 of the family's 1533-position model. The record is from RNAcentral.
GACGAACGCUGGCGGCGUGCUUAACACAUGCAAGUCGAACGGAAAGGCCAUGCUUUUGUGGGGUGCUUGAGUGGCGAACGGGUGAGUAAAACGUGAGUAAAAUGUCCUUGAAUUUGGGAUAAAUUCAGGAAAAUGGGGCUAAUAUCGGAUAGGAGCUUUUGAUGCAUGGUGGGGGAUGGAAAGAUUCGGCGGUUGGGGCUGGACUCGCGGCUUAUCAGCUUGUUGGUGGAGUAGUGGCUUACCAAGGCUUUGACGGGUAGCCGGCCUGAGAGGGUGACCGGCCACAAUGGGACUGAGAUACGGCCCAGACUCCUACGGGAGGCAGCAGUGGGGAAUAUUGCACAAUGGGCGGAAGCCUGAUGCAGCAACGCCGCGUGCGGGAUGACGGCCUUCGGGUUGUAAACCGCUUUCGCCUGUGACGAAGCGUGAGUGACGGUAAUUGGUAAAGAAGCACCGGCUAACUACGUG